ACACGUAGGGGGCGAGCGUUGUUCGGAAUCAUUGGGCGUAAAGGGCGUGCAGGCGGUCCUGCAAGUCCGGCGUGAAAGACCCCGGCCCAACCGGGGGGACGCGCUGGAAACUGCGGGGCUUGAGUACAGGAGGGGAUGCCGGAAUUCCAGGUGUAGGGGUGAAAGCUGUAGAUAUCUGGAAGAACGCCAAUGGCGAAGGCAGGCAGCUGGCCAUGUACUGACGGUGAGACGCGAAGGUGCGGGGAGCAAACAGGUUUAGAUCCCCUGGUAGUCCGCACAGUAAACGAUUUGCACCAGGUGGCGGGGGGUCGACCCCCGGUACCGUAGCUAACGCAUUAAGUGCACCGCCUGGGGAGUAUGCUCGCAAGGGUGAAACUCAAAUGAAUUGACGGGG
RNAcentral lists this ribosomal RNA (394 nucleotides) under uncultured bacterium. RNAcentral's name for it is "partial 16S ribosomal RNA". It matches the Rfam family "Bacterial small subunit ribosomal RNA", at positions 523 to 918 of the family's 1533-position model. The record is from RNAcentral.